RNAcentral lists this unclassified non-coding RNA (338 nucleotides) under soil metagenome. RNAcentral describes it as "partial contains 5.8S ribosomal RNA, internal transcribed spacer 2, and large subunit ribosomal RNA". The stretch from base 1 to 121 matches the Rfam family "5.8S ribosomal RNA", at positions 35 to 154 of the family's 154-position model. The record is from RNAcentral.
GAUGAAGAACGUAGCGAAAUGCGAUAAGUAAUGCGAAUUGCAGAAUUCCAGUGAGUCAUCGAAUCUUUGAACGCACAUUGCGCCCAUUGGUAUUCCAUGGGGCAUGCCUGUUCGAGCGUCAUUUGUACCUUCAAGCUCUGCUUGGUGUUGGGUGUUUGUCUCGCCUCUGCGUGUAGACUCGCCUCAAAACAAUUGGCAGCCGGCGUAUUGAUUUCGGAGCGCAGUACAUCUCGCGCUUUGCACUCAUAACGACGACGUCCAAAAGUACAUUUUUACACUCUUGACCUCGGAUCAGGUAGGGAUACCCGCUGAACUUAAGCAUAUCAAUAAGCGGAGGA